Molecule: long non-coding RNA, 3286 nt
Filed under: Malus domestica (apple)
Lineage: Eukaryota; Viridiplantae; Streptophyta; Magnoliopsida; Rosales; Rosaceae
Description: long non-coding RNA (MDOM_LNC012700)
Source: RNAcentral
AAAACCAAAUACCAUAGGUUCUAAGAUAAGUUUAAGUGUGAAUACACAACCAGAGCACAAGGUCUAAGUGCAGUCGAACAUAAGAUGUCCUAAUUUACAACACUCGAAGAUAAUCCUACAUGAGUGAUGAUUUGUCAGAACUUUAGCUGGAAACCUCGAGAUCCAACAACAAACGCUACCUAGAACCUGGAGGGGCGCAAAACAAAGUUGAGUGGGUCAGCAAAACAAACUUCUUCAAAACCUUAUUUUCUCUUUGAAUAUACUAACCCUUCACCGUAAAACAAGUAUAGUUUCCCAGAAAUAAAGUAUAUAUUCAUAUACGUACUAUAUCUCAAAUCAUGCUAGACAAUAUGAAUGUAUGUCAUGCCAAAGUAUCAUAACUGAAUGCUCGUUAUCUCUAAGUGAAUAUGAUGGAAUAACAUAUAAUCAAUUCAGCACUCGGCUAUAAACAUAGUUCAUACUCUUUCAUUAUAAUCAACUCAGCCUUCAGCUGCACAUAUAGCUCAUAAUCAUCUCAUCACAUCAUGUAUAUAUAUGUAUAUCUUGCACACAUUCAAUACCACCUCACAUGGUCUGCAAUUCAUCAUUGUAUAUAACAUAAUAUGCUCUAGUGCUACAAUCACGAGAAGACUGUGCGAUAAAUCGCGGGUCACCUACGAGUCGAACCCACUAAAAGUGGUCUAUACGAUAGGACUGUGCACCUAACUUGGAUCCAAGGCGAGCAUGCGAUGCGGGAGGUGAACAUCACGUGAAAGACUGUGCCCCUAACUCUGGGCGGGAGCACUAAUAUACGUGUGCAAGUAAAUGAGCUUUCAAUUACAUCUCAAUCAUAUGAUUCAUCAUAUCUCAAUCAUAUCUCAAUCGUAUCACAAUCGUAUCUCAAUUAUAUCUCAAUCGUAUCUCAAUCGUAUUUCAAAUGUAAUAUACUCAUACGUAGCUUACCUGGGCCUCCUCAGCACCAUGCAACAAUAUGCAUAAUUAUGGUAAUGCAUAUACUAAAAUAUGAUGCAUACAUAACAUGUUACUUAAAUCGUAUUUCUUUUAAAAUACGUUUUCUGGGAAAUACUUCAAGUAUACGUAUAUAUAUACUGAAAAAAUAACUGCCCACUCACUGAUAAGUAGCCGGUUCGUAACCCCCACGCCUAGUUUGGUUACUUUCUUCCUCGGUAUAAGUCUCAUCUAUAAAAGAAUAAUUAUACAAACAUGAUGUGAAAAUUAUGUUGACACACAAAUUAAACCCUAUGGAUGACAAUUGUAGUAUAUGAGCAAAUAGGGAUCGUUCUAAACCGGGGAUUAACUAGGGAUGCUAAUCAAUGUGAAACUGACUCAAGAACAUAAAAACAUAAUGUAGAACACUAAACUAGACUCAAUUAAUGCAAAACUAGAGUUUAAAACACUUAAAUCAACCAAAACUCAAAACAGCAACUAAAAGACUCAAAACUGCCUUAAAACCACUUUCUGGGCAGUUUGAGUACCUAACACUAAUUUGGACGAAAUUGGACUAAAACUUGACUCAAGACACUUAGAACACAAACUAAAUUGAUUUCUAACUAAUCUAACACUUUAAAAUAAAUGGGGGAUUGAUUUUGACGAAAUUAAAAUUAAAACAGAGACUUGUAAACAAACUUUAAACAAAACAGAUUGUGAUGAAAUAGAAUGGUGAGAAACUUAGUUAGAGGGUUUCUUAUCCGCACAUGAACAUAUACAUACGAUUCAAUUUCCAAUUACUCUUUCAACAAACCAUGAAUGACAAUGCCCCAAAUUAACUAGAUUGCACCAAUUAAUUCUCAGAUUUCCCUAGAUUCAUUGAAUUGAAUGGAAUACGCAUUACAACCAAAUUAUUAUUAUCAAGGACCCUAACUAUGGAAUACGCAUGAUAGAGACACAUAUCAAAGAUCAUUAAGUUCAAUGGACAUCAUAAGCAUUGACGAGGCAUUCAUAACUAUGGGAUACGCAUGUUACUCUUGCCUAGGAUUUACUUAACGCAAUCGUGACUAGCGACUUUCACUACUUAUGAAUAUAAGUUAAUAAUGAUUAGGUGAAAUUCCCUUAUAUCCUAGCAUCAAGUUUAGGCAUGCAAAUUAAGUGUCGACCCUCAACCCACAUACAUAAACAAGUUAUCAAUCAAAUAGAUAAGUAAAUCACAUUCACAAUUUCUGAAAUCAUAAUUGGAAGAAAUCAAAUCAUGUAAAACAUAUGUCCAUGGCUUCAAAUUCACCUCUAACUAAAAAGAAAUUAGUUCCACAUGUUUAACAUAAUUGAAAAGCAAGUUAAAUUAAACAUAAAAACAGAAACAAAGAAAGAAAGAACUCUAAACACUCCACUAAUGGCAGAUUGCAUGUGCAAGGCUUCUCCCUCCUUUGGACUGCACGGCACUACUUCUUCCUCCUCCAAUGGUGGCUGCACAAGGUGGUGAUGGUGGUGGGAAGGCACGGCAAGGGUGGAUUGUGGCAGAAAUAUGGGAGUUUGGGGGUGGAAGGUUGCGGCAGGGAGAGAACUAGGGUUUUUGGCGUGAAUGAAUGAUAUGGGGGGUGAUGAUAGUUCGGCCAAAAGGUUUAACAAGUAUAUAUAGGCACCCAAAAACCCUAGUAAAUCAGGUUAGGGUUUUUAGAAGCCCAAAUCCAUCAUAAAUUAGGUUAAACAAUCAGAUUUUUAAUGGGAAUGAGGCCUAGGGUGCGGCUGGUUUGCUAGGGUUUAAUAUGAGCCUUCUACAAUGCCUUGCAAGGCAAGGCAAUCAAAGAUUCUAAACCCCUAGGUGCGGCAAAGGCUUAGAAGUCAGAAAUAUGCAAUGGGCUAGGGUUUAGGUGCGGCAUUAAGUGAGGAUCCAAGAUGAAUUGGGCUAGGAAGGUGCGGCCUUGUCCAAGAGGUAAGGAUGGGUCAUCUGGAAGCCCAAAGCCAAGAAUAGAAACUCUCACAAUUGGAAACCUCCGAGAAUAGAAACUUCCAACUUUAGAAACUUUGGUUUCUAAUUCUGAAUUCUUUGUUCUUCACUUUCAUUUCUUCAUUUCUUAAGCUCCCUUGACCUUCAGACUCGUCCAUUCCUUGUGCUCCAAGCAUGUACUUUUCAAUCCAAGCUCACUUUUGCUCUAACAUGCUCCAUUUUGCCAUCUUUUAUGUAUUAUGCCCCUUUGAACCUGAAAACACAUGAAAGUAGCUCAAAAGACUACUUUAACGCAGAAAAUAUAACGAAAAUGCAUAAGAACUAGCUAACUAAGGCGCAUAAGUAUGCUCCUAUCAAAACAUCAUUUAAAAGCACAUACACAACAUUUGCUAAUAACUUCUCAUA